UUGUGAUGUGCUCUCAAAGAGACGAGUUGUGUGGGAAUGCAGCUCUAAAUGGGUGGUAAAUUCCAUCUAAAGCUAAAUAUUGGCGAGAGACCGAUAGCGAACAAGUACCGUGAGGGAAAGAUGAAAAGAACUUUGGAAAGAGAGUUAAACAGUACGUGAAAUUGUUGAAAGGGAAACGCUUGAAGUCAGUCGCGUUGGCCGGGGAUCAACCUUGCUUUUGCUUGGCGUACUUUCCGGUCGACGGGUCAGCAUCAAUUUUGACCGGUGGAUAAAGGUCAGGGGAAUGUGGCAUCUUCGGAUGUGUUAUAGCCCUUGGUCGCAUACAUCGGUUGGGAUUGAGGAACUCAGCACGCCGCAAGGCCGGGUUUUUAACCACGUACGUGCUUAGGAUGCUGGCAUAAUGGCUUUAAUCGACCCGUCUUGAAACACGGACCAAGGAGUCUAACAUGCCCGCGAGUGUUUGGGUGGAAAACCCGGACGCGUAAUGAAAGUGAAAGUUGAGAUCCCUGUCGUGGGGAGCAUCGACGCCCGGAUCAGACCUUCUGUGACGAUCCCGCGGUAGAGCGUGUAUGUUGGGACCCGAAAGAUGGUGAACUAUGCCUGAAUAGGGUGAAGCCAGAGGAA
This 624-nucleotide ribosomal RNA is filed under the name Escherichia coli. RNAcentral's name for it is "partial 23S ribosomal RNA". It matches the Rfam family "Eukaryotic large subunit ribosomal RNA", at positions 244 to 860 of the family's 3401-position model. Lineage: Bacteria; Pseudomonadati; Pseudomonadota; Gammaproteobacteria; Enterobacterales; Enterobacteriaceae. The record is from RNAcentral.